Molecule: long non-coding RNA, 1793 nt
Filed under: Eutrema salsugineum
Lineage: Eukaryota; Viridiplantae; Streptophyta; Magnoliopsida; Brassicales; Brassicaceae
Description: long non-coding RNA (ESAL_LNC001363)
Source: RNAcentral
UUAGAUCUGAACCAGCUCCUUGACAAUUCCACCCGAUGAUAUUCAUUACGGCAGUAUUUUCUGAUUUUUAAUUUACGGACAGUAGUUCCUUCACAAAUUUAAGAAAGUAUUGACAGACUUAGCACAAGGCUAGAAUGUGACGAACUCUAGAUACAGAGCACAACUAUACGAUAAGAUAAGAUAGCUAAGUCAUCGUCUUCUUCUUGCUUUUGUUGAAAUGAUGCUGUUUUUUGGAGGUUGAGACCUGAUUUUUCCAAGAGUCCAUCGAAACGAGGAUAGACUGUCAAGAAAUUAGCAGAUCUGGAGAAAAAAACCUUAGCCCGAGGCUAGAGAGAAGAACUGACGCCGCCGAGAAGCUUUUAAUGAGGGAAGUGUGAGUCCAAGCCACCAUCUUUGCUAGCAGCUAGGAUCAGAAGGCUCCAGCGAGGAAGAGAGGGCUCAUUGGUCACCAUCGAUGAUGGAUCUCAAAGCCCAAGAUAAGAUGAAGCUAUUCACUGGCAAAGAAGGGUUUGUGUCUGCGAAGAUGUCCUGGAACGGUUCCAAUUUUUAGAAAGAGAAAUGGAUCUGAGAGAUUUCAUGUGAACACAGCCGAGAAUUUCGGUCGACAUGACGGAGAGAGGUCUUGACGAGAAUUGGCACUGAUGAAGCUAAUCGAUCUCGGGAACUCAGUUUGCCGAAUCUCUUGGCCUCUUUCUUUUUCGACUAAAUAUAAAUCUUCUUCUUCAAACUUGACUUCGGUUAAAACGAUCAAUUAGCUGAGAGUUAUGAACGUGAGAUAGCUCAGUGAUUUCCUCUUCUUCUUCUUACAUAGUGAUGUUGAGAUUUGUGUUUGGCUUCUGCAUUUUGCAGGUUUUUUAUUCCAACUGCAGGAUAGGGUUUGAAGCAGAUUUUUUUGGAGGAGUAGCGGUCUAGGGAAAUUGGCACCCGGCUAUAACUCUUUUGUGAAGCUUCUUUGGAGAGAAAAAUGUGAUGACUUAGCACAAGGCUAGAAAUUUGAGAGGUUUUCAGUUUUUUCACACUUCCCAGCAGGAGAGGUCUUCAAUCUUGGUCGCUGUAAGUCUUCAGUCUUACAUAUGGAAUGAGUUGUUGCAUCUGGGUGUUGGUUGGUAAUAAAAGCUUCGUUUACAAAGCCUUGUAUUAGAGGAAUUGAAAUCAUUCUUCUAAGUUGCAGUGAGAGAGCAGAGAGGAAAAAGGAAAAUAUUACAGAAGCGAGAUUACUAGUCACCCAUAAUCAGAAGAAAAAUAUCCUUCCGACAUGAUUCAAGGGCGGAGCCACAGCGGAGGUCGGCCAAAGACGGUGGUUUGGAAAAGGAAGAAAGUAUUUCUGGCAAAUCACAAUGUUUAUAUCGAUGUUCUAAAAAUCGGCCAAGUUGCCGAUUAAUCGUCCGGCUAGGCGUUCGGCAGACUAGUGACGCCGCGAUUACAUAGUAAUCGGCAGACCUAAUCGUCGAUUAAUCGGCUUGGUCAUUGGUCAACGACUAGUUCUAUCAGACCAAACGUGUAGUAUUACUUAUAGAAGAUGUUGAAGGUCACCUUUACAGUCAUUUGUCGAUGUGGGACAUUUUACACUUACCUACUUCAAAAGAAAAUGAGGUAACCCAUGACAUUGAGAACCACCUACAUGCUCUAACCACUACACCAAAGCGUCAUUUCAUAAAUUAAACAACGAUAUAUAAUAUAUAUAUCUAUUGAAAUUAGAUAAAAACUUUAAAAUUAAUCUCCGAAAAUCCACGAUUAAACUCUGAUUUAUUGAUUAGGCGCUAGGCGCUACCUGACCGCCUGACUAGCGCCUA